GUGGGGAAUCUUCCGCAAUGGACGAAAGUCUGACGGAGCGACGCCGCGUGAGUGAUGAAGGCCUUCGGGUCGUAAAGCUCUGUCAUCGGGGACGAAUGGUCGUUGGAGUGGAAAGCCAGCGAAAUGACGGUACCCGAGAAGGAAGCCACGGCUAACUACGUGCCAGCAGCCGCGGUAAUACGUAGGUGGCAAGCGUUGUCCGGAAUUAUUGGGCGUAAAGCGCGCGCAGGUGGGAUCUUAAGUCCAUUUUGAAAGUUCGGAGCUCAACUCCGUGAUGGGAUGGAAACUGGGAUUCUUGAGUACCGGAGAGGAAAGCGGAAUUCCCCGUGUAGCGGUGAAAUGCGUAGAUAUGGGGAGGAACACCAGUGGCGAAGGCGGCUUUCUGGACGGUGUCUGACACUGAGGCGCGAAAGCCAGGGGAGCGAACGGGAUUAGAUACCCUAGUAGUCC
This 450-nucleotide ribosomal RNA is filed under the name uncultured bacterium. RNAcentral's name for it is "bacterial SSU rRNA". It matches the Rfam family "Bacterial small subunit ribosomal RNA", at positions 354 to 796 of the family's 1533-position model. The record is from RNAcentral.